RNAcentral lists this unclassified non-coding RNA (3483 nucleotides) under Hevea brasiliensis (rubber tree). The record is from RNAcentral. Lineage: Eukaryota; Viridiplantae; Streptophyta; Magnoliopsida; Malpighiales; Euphorbiaceae.
GUAUUUGUAAUUUGGAUGCAAUUUGUGGCUUGUAGGGUGAAAAAGAAAUGAAAGAGAAUGAUUUAGUUUUCAGGUUUAUGGGUUUGUUGCCAGUGCUUGGGGAGUGGGAUUUUCGGGGAUGCAUGGAUUACAUUAUCGGAGUAAUGUAUUAAAUUUUGUUGUGAAGGUAAGAUGGUGUCUUAAUCAGUCGUCUACUAUAUUUCUGAGGUCAUAUUGAUUUUAUGUUCGAGACUGUUGAAAUUUGGAACGUGCCUUACUAGUGAUAUGAGGUCCCUAAAAGAUGCUAAAUAGCAUGUGUGGGAUGUGUGAACCUUGGGAAAUGAGUGCAGCGUUAUUUUUUGAAAAGUUCCAUAGAUCAUUUUUUUCCUGCUAUUUCCGGCUUUAGGUGGUUGAGGAGAGAUCAUGUCUUCUUCUGGUACAUUGUGCUUGUGCUUGGAUAGAUGCUAUGCGCAUUUUUGUGUUCAUAAAUAUGGUUUUCUAUUUUGUUUCAACUCAAAAACCAUCACCAAAUGAACCUGAAACCAAAUAGCAUCCAUGUGUUGUCAUUGAAGCCUUGACCCAAAUAGCAUCAAUUACGGUCCAUUCUCAAAUUUGACUAACAAUUACAUGCAUGAUAAUUACAUGUAUUAUUAUAGAGUGAUAAAAAAAUAAGCUAAAGUUGAUAUUCCUUUUAAUAGGACUGCUAAAAUGACAUUUGUUUUGGUUGAUAUUGAUAUGUUUCUUCUCAAUUCUUUUGAUUAAAUUAAUUACAUUUCUAUUAUUUGUGCUUUGCAUGUUGACUUUAUGGUUUAUGAUGAAUCAGACUUUUAAUUGUCGUAAAGGGAGGGCAUAUCUGUUCAACAAUGUGUAAGUUCUACUAACUUUCUUUCAAUCUGCACUUUCUUAUUUAUUAGUUCAUUUUUGCAUAUUCUUCUAGAAGUUUCUGGACAGCUGGCUGAGUGCAUGCGUUGGGUUGACUAGGAGGUGGUCAAUUUGAACGCAUUUGAGGUUUAGAGAGGAUCAAUUAUGCACUUGGGAUUGUUUGAUCUUAAUGAUGCUGCUUUGAAAAACUAUUCCAGCUAACCUUGCUGAAUCCUUCGUUGACAUUUAAAUGGGGGAUUUUGUUAAAAGCCCUUGUAAUAUCCUCCUCCCAAACCAUAAUAUGUAUAGUUAUUGGUAAUGCUAUCCAAACUGUACCCAUACUUUAUAACAUAGUGAUUUUGGUAUCCGAAACUGUUAAUUGAAUUAGCUUAGAGCAAAUAACCUUUGAUGUGUGAUAUCACUCAGCUUCUAGAUGUGUUUGAACUUUUUGGGUGGAUUAGGAGAACUGUAAUGGCAUAAUCUGGGCCUGAAAGAAGUCUGCCUUCCUAUGAAUGAUAGGCUUGUAUUUAUAGGACUAGGGAACUAAUGUUUAUUCGAAAUGUUUAAAGUGUAUGCAAGUGGGCUGUCUCAAUCACUGACGACUAUGUCAAAGUUAAUCAAGCUGUUUUACUAGCCAUAAUUACUCUGACAGUCUUCUGAUAUGAUUGGAUGGUUUUAUUAAUUGGUUAGGACUUACAAACAGUUUGUCCGACUGGUUUGCCUUUCCAAGGAAGAUCAUCCGAUCCCUUCUCGUAAUGACGUUUUGAUUCAAACUGGUCGACAAAAUCAUAAAGUACUAAGAUUCUUGGCUAUCUUUCACACUUAUGCUCCCUAAGUUAUGAUAACCAUUCUCCAGGCAUAUUCUAAUUGUUAUUUUGUCAUUUGGUCAACUGGGUGAUAUCUUUGUCAUCCUCCUUGGGUUUUGCGACAAGUGCAUGAGGGUGAUAAUAUUUUCUUUUGGGAUUACUCCUGUAACUCUCACAAUAUUUUGCCAAUGCAGUCCGAUCGGUUUUGAUGGAGCAUGACCCGAGAAAGUGUUUUGUUUAAUCCAAGUAUCGGGCCUAAGUUACUUCUAUCUCUCCUGGGCUAAGUAUCCGUUAUGGUCUUCAGGGUGGUAUCUACGUCCCGUUGUAGAGAUUAUGCACGUAUCCUUCAUCCAUAGAUCCACCCUAAUUGUAAUGUAUCAAAAUCCAUCAAGGUUUGGUCAAUGAGCUGGCCUAGGGUUAUUUGAGUAUCACCUGCUGAUGACUCUUUUGAUAUGGUCUCCGAACCUAGGAACCACUUUGGAGUAAGUUGGCCAGAACAUUAGAUUUCCACUGGGUUUGAGUGGUAUGUCCGACCUCUUUUAGGCCUUACCUUUAACAAGGCCAUCUGGUUGGUCAAUAUUUAAAUCCUGAUAACUUUUUCUGUAAUUAUUAGAGAAUAGUAUGCAUUCUUCUUUUUAAAUUUUCCACGUGUCAUUUAUCUUGAGGCCUGUUUUGAUCAUAAUGUAUCAAUGUGUGUUUGGUUAGUUGUUUUAAAAUUUUCCCAUAUAAUGCCAGAUCUUGAAGUACCAAAAAGUAUGAUAUCCAAAGGUUCUUCCUUUUUUUUUUACAGUUGUACAAUGAUGAAAUUUAAGCGAAUUUCCCAAUAGUAAGAAUUCAACUUUUCCUGUUCUAUAGGGUGAACAUAAUGGUUGGGGUGGUGGAAGAAAGGUCAAUGCUUUCCGGCUUUCAUACUGUGGAAGAUAUAUUCUGUUGUUGCUGUGGACAACUGCUUGGGUGGAAAUAUGUAAAGUUUCUCUGUCUGAUCUGUGAUUUUGUGUAGUAAAUGAUGCCAUGUUACCUGCUGUUACCACAAUUGAAAAGUAAUAACAUAACUUGAAAUGGAAAUUUCUUCUCACUAUGACUUGAUCUGAAAAUUUUUCAAAUGAUGGAUGUAAUGAAAUUCUUUCUUGAUGAUAAAAUACAAUGCUCGGCGACAUUUCAAACAGUGGUAGUGGUAAAAGUUUCAUUUGAAGUGAUCUCAGUUCAGAGUUAUAAUUUUUCCUUCUUUUAGAUCCUUGUCAUCCAAACAUUCUGCUUUAUCUUUCAUUUUGUUCGUCCUGAAGUCCAGCAUCUUCCUCUAAUUUAACAUUGUUAAGGGGUCAUUAUAUGGUGUAGGUGGCAGCGCAUGACAAAGGCCAAAAGUACAAGGAAGGAAAGUUUGUUCUUGAAAGAUGGAGGAUAGCUGGGGAGGUGACUGAGGAAUUCAAUUUGGAUGCUCGACUUGGAUCAAGUGAUGGUGAGAGUCAUUAGGAAUUUGAUGCAACUUUGUGAAAAUGAAUGGUGAAAAAUGACAGCAUACAACUUUUAGUUCAUAAAUAAGAGUUUUAGAAGCUAUAAACUAGAGACCUUUUUUAAAUCUCUGUAAAAAGCGCUGGUUUGGAGGAGUUGAGGUGUUGCAUAUAAGUUUUUUAUUAUAGGCAUAUGAUGUCCCCUAUGCACAUCAAACCUUGAUUGCUGCAUUCAGAUGUGAAUCCAUACAAUUAUUUGGAAUGGAUUAAAACCCGGAAAUACCAAUUUCUUUAUUGUUGUAAUGAUAUUUGUUAUUGGAUACAUAAUUUCAAUGUUGGGUAGUGCUGACUGGUUGGAAAAGCAAGCCAAUAACACCAAACUUCCCAAA